This 434-nucleotide ribosomal RNA is filed under the name uncultured Lachnospiraceae bacterium. Its description in RNAcentral is "partial 16S ribosomal RNA". It matches the Rfam family "Bacterial small subunit ribosomal RNA", at positions 341 to 792 of the family's 1533-position model. The record is from RNAcentral. Lineage: Bacteria; Bacillati; Bacillota; Clostridia; Lachnospirales; Lachnospiraceae.
ACGGAAGGCAGCAGUGGGGAAUAUUGCACAAUGGGGGAAACCCUGAUGCAGCGACGCCGCGUGAGUGAAGAAGUAUUUCGGUAUGUAAAGCUCUAUCAGCAAGGAAGAAAAUGACGGUACUUGACUAAGAAGCCCCGGCUAACUACGUGCCAGCAGCCGCGGUAAUACGUAGGGGGCAAGCGUUAUCCGGAUUUACUGGGUGUAAAGGGAGCGUAGACGGUAAGGCAAGUCUGAAGUGAAAUGCAUGGGCUCAACCCAUGAACUGCUUUGGAAACUGUCUGACUAGAGUGCAGGAGAGGUAAGUGGAAUUCCUAGUGUAGCGGUGAAAUGCGUAGAUAUUAGGAGGAACACCAGUGGCGAAGGCGACUUUCUGGACUGUAACUGACACUGAGGUACGAAAGCGUGGGGAGCAAACAGGAUUAGAUACCCUGGUA